Molecule: ribosomal RNA, 500 nt
Filed under: uncultured bacterium
Lineage: Bacteria
Description: partial 16S ribosomal RNA
Rfam family: Bacterial small subunit ribosomal RNA
Source: RNAcentral
AUUGAACGCUGGCGGCAUGCCUUACACAUGCAAGUCGAACGGCAGCACGGGAGCAAUCCUGGUGGCGAGUGGCGAACGGGUGAGUAAAGUAUCGGAACGUGCCCAGUCGUGGGGGAUAACGUAGCGAAAGUUACGCUAAUACCGCAUACGAUCUAUGGAUGAAAGCGGGGGAUCGCAAGACCUCGCGCGAGUGGAGCGGCCGAUAUCAGAUUAGGUAGUUGGUGGGGGAAAGGCUCACCAAGCCGACGAUAUGUAGCUGGUGUGAGAGGACGACCAGCCACACUGGGACUAAGACACGGCCCAGACUCCUACGGGAGUCAGCAGUGGGGAAGUUUGGACAAUGGGCGAAAGCCUGAUCCAGCCAUGCCGCGUGCAGGAUGAAGGCCUUCGGGUUGUAAACUGCUUUUGUACGGAACGAAAAGGUUUGGGCUAAUAAGCUGAGCUCAUGACGGUACCGUAAGAAUAAGCACCGGCUAACUACGUGCCAGCAGCCGCCGUAA